This 390-nucleotide ribosomal RNA is filed under the name Eukaryota sp. Its description in RNAcentral is "SSU rRNA". It matches the Rfam family "Eukaryotic small subunit ribosomal RNA", at positions 828 to 1220 of the family's 1831-position model. The record is from RNAcentral.
CUUUGGUUCUAUUUUGUUGGUUUCUAGGACCGAAGUAAUGAUUAAUAGGGAUGGUUGGGGGCAUUCGUAUUUCAUUGUCAGAGGUGAAAUUCUUGGAUUUAUGAAAGACGAACAUCUGCGAAAGCGUCUGCCAAGGACGUUUUCAUUAAUCAAGAACGAAAGUUAGGGGAUCGAAGACGAUCAGAUACCGUCGUAGUCUUAACCAUAAACUAUGCCGACUCGGGAUUGGAGGAUGUCGCCAUGACGUCUCCAGCACCGUAUGAGAAAUCAAAGUGUUUGGGUUCCGGGGGGAGUAUGGUCGCAAGGCUGAAACUUAAAGGAAUUGACGGAAGGGCACCACCAGGAGUGGAGCCUGCGGCUUAAUUUGACUCAACACGGGGAAACUCACCA